UCACAAUUGUAUCUCAUAAUUGUGUUUUGUUUUAUAGGAUUCUUUAUGGAAAUAAGAUUGCAGAUCUGCCUCGAGGUGUUUUUGACAGAUUGAGUGCAUUAGAGUUACUACUAUUAAAAUGCCAGUAAAAUCCACUGUGUGCGAGCCAAUGUCUUCCAUGACCUUGAGAACCUAUUGUCCCUGUAUGACAAUAAGAUCCAGACUCUAGCCAAAGGCACAUUUACUCCGCUGGAAUCCAUCCAGACUCUUCAUUUAGCUCAAAACCCAUUCGUCUGUGAUUGUGGUUUGAAGUGGCUGGCGGACUUUAUGCGCUCCAACACGAUUGAGACCAGCGCCGCACGAUGCUCCAGUCCUCGAUGAUUCGCCAACAAACGCAUCAGUCAGAUCAAGAGCAAGAAGUUCCACUGUUCAGGUAGAAUACACAAAUUGCAUACAUUUAUUUAUUUGAAAGUACACACAUAACGUUUAACUG
Molecule: long non-coding RNA, 472 nt
Organism: Carassius auratus (goldfish)
Lineage: Eukaryota; Metazoa; Chordata; Actinopteri; Cypriniformes; Cyprinidae
Exons: 3
Source: RefSeq, a predicted model, not a curated record